CCUACGUGAGGCAGCAGUCGAGAAUCAUUCACAAUGGGGGAAACCCUGAUGGUGCGACGCCGCGUGGGUGAAUGAAGGUCUUCGGAUUGUAAACCCCUUUCAUGUGUGAGCAAAUUAAAAAGAUAGUACCACAAGAGGAAGACACUGCUAACUCUGUGCCAGCAGCCGCGGUAAUACAGAGGUCUCAAGCGUUGUUCGGAAUCACUGGGCGUAAAGCGUGCGUAGGCUAUUUCGUAAGUCGUGUGUGAAAGUCGCGGGCUCAACCCGCGGACGGCACAUGAUACUGCGAGACUAGAGUAAUGGAGGGGGAACAGGAAUUCUCGGGGUAGCAGUGAAAUGCGUAGAUAUCGAGAGGAACACUCGUGGCGAAGGCGGGUUCCUGGACAUUAACUGACGCUGAGGCACGAAGGCCAGGGGAGCGAAAGGGAUUAGAUACCCUUGUAGUC
Molecule: ribosomal RNA, 446 nt
Filed under: uncultured bacterium
Lineage: Bacteria
Description: partial 16S ribosomal RNA
Rfam family: Bacterial small subunit ribosomal RNA
Source: RNAcentral